Carassius carassius (crucian carp) is the source of this 479-nucleotide long non-coding RNA. RefSeq lists it as uncharacterized. The record is from RefSeq and is a predicted model, not a curated record. The transcript has 3 exons. NCBI's taxonomy places the organism in Eukaryota, Metazoa, Chordata, Actinopteri, Cypriniformes, Cyprinidae.
CACAAACUCCAUAAAAAGAAAUGGGUGCACUUUGAUCGUUUUGGACAGGAACAGAUGUGGCCAUGCUGAGAACGUGUCAUUGCAGAACAGAACUUUGCUGUGUUACACUGUGGAGAGAAACAAAAAGACAAAUGGUCUCUUUUGAUGUCCUGCUCCUCUUGCGCGCUCAGUCGGUUGUCCAGUGACAUCUGACCCCUGCAGACGCAGAGCAGCGAGAGGAGCACGCUCAGGUAAACCGCCGCGCGGACGCUGUCCAUGGUGCUGGAUGCUUUGGCGUCAGUAAGAACCAGCUGAGAGUCGGUCUGAAUCAGAGAUGGUAUCGCUUUGACAUCCUUGCAGUUUAAAUCCGCUGUUUGUCCUCUGAAAAAAUUUGUUUAAUUUAUUUAUUGAUAUGCAAUUGUUUGAAACGACUGUGGUUGUGUGUCAUAAUGCAUCUUGUCCUCUUUACUUAGUAAAAAUAACACAGGUACAUAAUCUUA